RNAcentral lists this ribosomal RNA (253 nucleotides) under uncultured bacterium. Its description in RNAcentral is "partial 16S ribosomal RNA". It matches the Rfam family "Bacterial small subunit ribosomal RNA", at positions 524 to 776 of the family's 1533-position model. The record is from RNAcentral.
UACGAAGGGGGCUAGCGUUGUUCGGAAUUACUGGGCGUAAAGGGCGCGCAGGCGGUCGCUCAAGUCAGGCGUGAAAGCCCCGGGCUCAACCUGGGAAUAGCGCUUGAGACUGAGCGACUUGAGUUCGGGAGAGGAGAGCGGAAUUCCCAGUGUAGAGGUGAAAUUCGUAGAUAUUCGCAAGAACACCAGUGGCGAAGGCGACUACCUGGCCUGUUCUUGACGCUGAGGCGCGAAAGCUAGGGGAGCAAACGGG